Molecule: ribosomal RNA, 674 nt
Filed under: uncultured Lachnospiraceae bacterium
Lineage: Bacteria; Bacillati; Bacillota; Clostridia; Lachnospirales; Lachnospiraceae
Description: bacterial SSU rRNA
Rfam family: Bacterial small subunit ribosomal RNA
Source: RNAcentral
GCAAGUCGAGCGAAGCACCUUGACGGAUUUCUUCGGAUUGAAGCCUUGGUGACUGAGCGGCGGACGGGUGAGUAACGCGUGGGUAACCUGCCUCAUACAGGGGGAUAACAGUUGGAAACGGCUGCUAAUACCGCAUAAGCGCACAGUACCGCAUGGUACGGUGUGAAAAACUCCGGUGGUAUGAGAUGGACCCGCGUCUGAUUAGGUAGUUGGUGGGGUAACGGCCUACCAAGCCGACGAUCAGUAGCCGACCUGAGAGGGCGACCGGCCACAUUGGGACUGAGACACGGCCCAAACUCCUACGGGAGGCAGCAGUGGGGAAUAUUGCACAAUGGGGGAAACCCUGAUGCAGCGACGCCGCGUGAGCGAUGAAGUAUUUCGGUAUGUAAAGCUCUAUCAGCAGGGAAGAAAAUGACGGUACCUGACUAAGAAGCCCCGGCUAACUACGUGCCAGCAGCCGCGGUAAUACAUAGGGGGCAAGCGUUAUCCGGAUUUACUGGGUGUAAAGGGAGCGUAGACGGCAUGGCAAGCCAGAUGUGAAAGCCCGGGGCUCAACCCCGGGACUGCAUUUGGAACUGUCAGGCUAGAGUGUCGGAGAGGAAAGCGGAAUUCCUAGUGUAGCGGUGAAAUGCGUAGAUAUUAGGAGGAACACCAGUGGCGAAGGCGGCUUUCUG